AGUCGAGCGGAUGAGUGAGCUUGCUCAUGGAUUCAGCGGCGGACGGGUGAGUAAUGCCUAGGAAUCUGCCUGGUAGUGGGGGACAACGUUUCGAAAGGAACGCUAAUACCGCAUACGUCCUACGGGAGAAAGCAGGGGACCUUCGGGCCUUGCGCUAUCAGAUGAGCCUAGGUCGGAUUAGCUAGUUGGUGAGGUAAUGGCUCACCAAGGCUACGAUCCGUAACUGGUCUGAGAGGAUGAUCAGUCACACUGGAACUGAGACACGGUCCAGACUCCUACGGGAGGCAGCAGUGGGGAAUAUUGGACAAUGGGCGAAAGCCUGAUCCAGCCAUGCCGCGUGUGUGAAGAAGGUCUUCGGAUUGUAAAGCACUUUAAGUUGGGAGGAAGGGUUGUAGAUUAAUACUCUGCAAUUUUGACGUUACCGACAGAAUAAGCACCGGCUAACUCUGUGCCAGCAGCCGCGGUAAUACAGAGGGUGCAAGCGUUAAUCGGAAUUACU
RNAcentral lists this ribosomal RNA (499 nucleotides) under Pseudomonas sp. Its description in RNAcentral is "bacterial SSU rRNA". It matches the Rfam family "Bacterial small subunit ribosomal RNA", at positions 60 to 555 of the family's 1533-position model. Lineage: Bacteria; Pseudomonadati; Pseudomonadota; Gammaproteobacteria; Pseudomonadales; Pseudomonadaceae. The record is from RNAcentral.